AUUAAUAAGCGGAGGAAAAGAAACUAACAAGGAUUCCCCUAGUAACGGCGAGUGAAGAGGGAAUAGCCCAGCACCGAAUCCCCCUCCCUAGCAGGUGGCGGGACCUGUGGUGUUUAGGAGAGCCUCUGCGGCGACCUCGGGUGUCCGAGUCCUCCUGAUCGGGGCUUCACCCAGAGCGGGUGGCAGGCCUCUACGGCCCCCGUGGACGUCGCUUUGAGCCUCCUUGGAGUCGGGUUGUUUGGGAAUGCAGCCCAAAGUGGGUGGUAAACUCCAUCUAAGGCUAAAUACCGACACGAGUCCGAUAGCGGACAAGUACCGUGAGGGAAAGUU
This 330-nucleotide ribosomal RNA is filed under the name Cossura sp. VR-2006. RNAcentral describes it as "eukaryotic LSU rRNA". It matches the Rfam family "Eukaryotic large subunit ribosomal RNA", at positions 42 to 365 of the family's 3401-position model. The record is from RNAcentral. Lineage: Eukaryota; Metazoa; Annelida; Polychaeta; Cossuridae.